GUGAGCCCCCGCAAUACUUCACAUCUGCGCGGAGUCCCGGGGAGGUCGAGGCCACCUGGGGUUGGGCCGUUGGACCUCUCCCUUUGCCCUUUGUCGCUACUUCCUCCUGCCCUAGGCUCGCGCGCCCUGUCUCUGUCACCCGUUCCAACGGUGUCUCACCACAGCCGGCUGGACGGUGUGUGCCUAGCGCGGAGAGCUGGCAGCCAGGAGACCUCCCCGAGGGUCCCAGUCCUCUCCAAGGAUCCCACAGCGCGCAAACUGCUCCUCGGGGGCACGUUCCUCAACAAGCCUCGCACCCGCCCGCCCCGCUCCGUUCCUGUCUGGUCUAAAUAACCCUCCCGGCCUGGUUCGGGCUGUUUACUGCAGUCGCGGGUCCUUAUCGCCCCUAUUUUACACUGCGGCUAAGAGGCUAAGCUAAGGUCUGGUCUGGCAGGCCCAGUGCUCCUCUCUGUGAGUCCUUGCCUUGGUGCGGUGUGUGUGUGUCUGACCUUCGGGUCUCAGAAGCCAUUGCUGUCUGCUUGCUCUUCCAAGUUGCUCCUCUCCUCAGGAACGGGCACAAUUCCUCCUCCAGGAUGCAAAAUGACUCUCUUCCGUUUGGCGCUUGAGCAGGCAGCCUCCUCUCCGAGGCCUGGGCCAUCCCGUCGCCACUAGAUCUUUGCCUAAAGGGGACACACCUGAAGAUCCUACAAAAGGAAGAGCAGAGAAGAGGAGAAAAAUAGCACAGGAUGGACCGUCAGAGAAGUGCUCCUCGCUGGCCCCCAUAGCAGUGAGAGGGGGCCUUCAGCAGGUAGGGCCCUGGACCCCGCAGGGGUGGUGCGGCCCUCACUUCCUUCCGGCGCAGUCCUGGGCCUCCAAGGGAAACCUCCAUUCCCAGCUCCCAGGAGACACCUUGAAUAAGAAAGUGAAAACAUCUUCUGAGCCCAUUUAUAACCGAGCAAAAAGGGGCUCCUGCUCGAUGCAGCCUGGUGCCAAUCAAUUGCAAAUAAGCCAGUGGUUGAGGAAAGAAUUUAUCUGAUUAGCUAAGCAUAAUCGGAAGAUGGUGGACUGGUGUCCUGAAGAAGCAUGCUCAAAUCAUACAGAAUCUUGAGGCAGUUAUAUAGGGGAAACCGACAGUGAAGGAGGGGGUUUGUGGGUGUUGACCAUCCCGUGUGACGAACUUCAAGGCGCCACAUUCUUUCUUUCUUCUGUCAUUUGUGAUGGGUACCAAUGCAGGAUUUUUCUUCCUGGAAGUCGUCAUGUUCCUGAGGAACUCAGAGAACAGUUAUUGUCUUACCACGGCUGGGAAAUAGACAUAAGCAAGAGUCAUAGAACUAUCAGAUCAUGUAUUCUGCAAAAGUGAGAGGUGCUUAAUCACCUAGGCUACAUGCAGGCGAGAACAUAUUCACAGAGACUAGUGAGGCAGGGCUGUAAUUCAAUAUUGCUUCCUUUCCCUAAGCUGGCUGCCCUCAUGCUGACUUAAGAUCUAGCUGUUACACAUUCACCAAAGGCCAUGUCAUCCCCAGCUCUUAAAGCCCUCCUGGAGGCCGCCCCUCUCUGUGGAGGACUGACCUGAAUGUAGGGGGCUGUGUGGCCCAUUCUCAACCUACCCCUGCUGCCAAAGAGGUGGACAAAGCAAAAGCUGGACGAAGGCCAUCCACCCAGCUCUCCAGCCUCACUGAAGUCAGAGGGGACACAGGGAACAAAGCUUCAGAUACUCCGUCAAGAAGGAACUUUCCGAAGCCAUCUGCCAGUUGUAGGCUCUGUAAACGAAAAUGUCUGCGCCCCUUGCUGCCGCCACUGCUAGUGUUUUGGGAGGAGAAAAGCUGCCUCCAUCUCCUGGGUUCCUUGCGUAGUCAUUGGUGAGGACCUAGGCUUGGAGGAGAAAGCUGAGCUCCAACGGAACCACGAGGUGUUGGAGGAUAAAACUGAGGCCACUUCAGACUGCAGUGCCAAUCAGCCUGCCUGUUCUUCCUUCCUGCCUGCUGCAGCACUGCAGAGACCCCUGCCACUUGCACCUUGCACAUCCCAGCUCCUGCCUUAUUACUGGACACUGACUUGGCUGACCUGCCUGCCAGGCCCCCAACCCUGUCUGCCCCUAUACCCAUCCCUGCACGAGAUAUUGAUCAUGAAACGAGAUGCCCAAAUUCUAACUCUCCUUUUGCUGUUCCUGCUGAAUCUCUUUUUCCCGUUAGGAUAAAUAGUAAUAAGAAUAAUAACAAUAAUAAUAAUAUGACCAACCACCCAAUAAAAAAUGGGCAAAACAUUUAAACAAUCCCUUUCCAAAAAGCGAUUCACAAAUGUUCACUAAGCCCUUUAAAAAAUGUUCAACACCAUUAGCCAUCAGGGAAAUUAAAAUUGAACCACAGUGAGAGAGACCAUUAUGCAACCACCAGAAAGGGUGAAGAUCGCAAGUCUGACAGCUCCAAAUGCUCGCUGGGAUGGGGAGCACCUGGAAGGCUUCUUGCUUCUAGUGAGAAGAUAAAAUGGUGCCGCUGCUAUGAAAGACAGUCACAGUUUCUCAUAAAACUAAACAUUCACCUACCCGGGAAAUACCUCUGGUGCCAAUCCGUAAGAGAAUAGAAAAACAAAUUGUGAAGUAUUCAUACUACUCAGCUAUCCAGGAAAGAAUCCCUGAUAAUGGGCAACAAUAGAGAUGAAUCGAAACAGCAUCUUACUAAUUAGAAGAGGCCUUACACCAGAAACAGUGCAUGCUGCAUGUCCCCACUUAUGUGGAAGGCCAGAACAGCCAAAUCUCACCUUUACGAGAAGAAUCCCUGAAGGAUUGUGAGGGGAGAGAUGGACUGAACCCAGAGUCACAGCUGGAUCACAGCAGAAGAUUAGCCCUGAGCUAACGUCUGCUGCCAAUCUUCCUCUUUUUGCUGAGGAAGACCGGCUCUGAGCUAACAUCCGUGCCCAUCUUCCUCAACUUUAUAUGUGGGAUGCCUACAACAGCAUGGCUCACCAAGUGGUGCCAUGUCCGCACCCGGGAUCCAAACCAGCGAACCCCAGGCCGUCAGAGCAGAAUAUGCACACUUAACUGCUGCACCACCAGGCGGGCCCCUCAAGUGUUUUUUUGACAAAGUUGUCAAGACAAUUCAAUGAUCUUGGGGUAGGGAAAAAUAAUUAGAUGGAAAACAGAAA
Molecule: long non-coding RNA, 3120 nt
Filed under: Equus caballus (horse)
Lineage: Eukaryota; Metazoa; Chordata; Mammalia; Perissodactyla; Equidae
Description: lncRNA (ENSECAG00000045342.1)
Source: RNAcentral